RNAcentral lists this ribosomal RNA (252 nucleotides) under uncultured Bacteroidales bacterium. RNAcentral describes it as "partial 16S ribosomal RNA". It matches the Rfam family "Bacterial small subunit ribosomal RNA", at positions 524 to 776 of the family's 1533-position model. Lineage: Bacteria; Pseudomonadati; Bacteroidota; Bacteroidia; Bacteroidales. The record is from RNAcentral.
UACGGAGGAUGCGAGCGUUAUCCGGAUUUAUUGGGUUUAAAGGGUGCGCAGGCGGAUUUUUAAGUCAGCGGUCAAAUCGUGGGGCUCAACCCCAUCCAGCCGUUGAAACUGGCGGGCUGGAGUUGGAGAGAAGUACGCGGAAUGCGCGGUGUAGCGGUGAAAUGCUUAGAUAUCGCGCAGAACCCCGAUUGCGAAGGCAGCGUACCGGCUCCACACUGACGCUGAGGCACGAAAGCGUGGGUAUCGAACAGG